This 497-nucleotide ribosomal RNA is filed under the name uncultured bacterium. Its description in RNAcentral is "partial 16S ribosomal RNA". It matches the Rfam family "Bacterial small subunit ribosomal RNA", at positions 28 to 507 of the family's 1533-position model. The record is from RNAcentral.
GAUGAACGCUGGCGGCGUGCCUAAUACAUGCAAGUCGAGCGAACAGACGAGGAGCUUGCUCCUCUGACGUUAGCGGCGGACGGGUGAGUAACACGUGGAUAACCUACCUAUAAGACUGGGAUAACUUCGGGAAACCGGAGCUAAUACCGGAUAAUAUAUUGAACCGCAUGGUUCAAUAGUGAAAGACGGUUUUGCUGUCACUUAUAGAUGGAUCCGCGCAGCAUUAGCUAGUUGGUAAGGUAACGGCUUACCAAGGCAACGAUGCGUAGCCGACCUGAGAGGGUGAUCGGCCACACUGGAACUGAGACACGGUCCAGACUCCUACGGGAGGCAGCAGUAGGGAAUCUUCCGCAAAGGGCGAAAGCCUGACGGAGCAACGCCGCGUGAGUGAUGAAGGUCUUCGGAUCGUAAAACUCUGUUAUUAGGGAAGAACAAAUGUGUAAGUAACUAUGCACGUCUUGACGGUACCUAAUCAGAAAGCCACGGCUAACUACGUG